Molecule: ribosomal RNA, 2012 nt
Filed under: Salmonella enterica subsp. enterica serovar Enteritidis
Lineage: Bacteria; Pseudomonadati; Pseudomonadota; Gammaproteobacteria; Enterobacterales; Enterobacteriaceae
Description: partial 23S ribosomal RNA
Rfam family: Bacterial large subunit ribosomal RNA
Source: RNAcentral
GUUGGGUAACACUAACUGGAGGACCGAACCGACUAAUGUUGAAAAAUUAGCGGAUGACCUGUGGCUGGGGGUGAAAGGCCAAUCAAACCGGGAGAUAGCUGGUUCUCCCCGAAAGCUAUUUAGGUAGCGCCUCGUGAAUUCAUCUCCGGGGGUAGAGCACUGUUUCGGCUAGGGGGCCAUCCCGGCUUACCAACCCGAUGCAAACUGCGAAUACCGGAGAAUGUUAUCACGGGAGACACACGGCGGGUGCUAACGUCCGUCGUGAAGAGGGAAACAACCCAGACCGCCAGCUAAGGUCCCAAAGUCAUGGUUAAGUGGGAAACGAUGUGGGAAGGCCCAGACAGCCAGGAUGUUGGCUUAGAAGCAGCCAUCAUUUAAAGAAAGCGUAAUAGCUCACUGGUCGAGUCGGCCUGCGCGGAAGAUGUAACGGGGCUAAACCAUGCACCGAAGCUGCGGCAGCGACACUGUGUGUUGUUGGGUAGGGGAGCGUUCUGUAAGCCUGUGAAGGUGUGUCGUGAGGCAUGCUGGAGGUAUCAGAAGUGCGAAUGCUGACAUAAGUAACGAUAAAGCGGGUGAAAAGCCCGCUCGCCGGAAGACCAAGGGUUCCUGUCCAACGUUAAUCGGGGCAGGGUGAGUCGACCCCUAAGGCGAGGCCGAAAGGCGUAGUCGAUGGGAAACGGGUUAAUAUUCCCGUACUUGGUGUUACUGCGAAGGGGGGACGGAGAAGGCUAUGUUGGCCGGGCGACGGUUGUCCCGGUUUAAGCGUGUAGGUGUGUGUUCCAGGUAAAUCCGGUUCACUUUAACACUGAGGCGUGACGACGAGGCACUACGGUGCUGAAGCAACAAAUGCCCUGCUUCCAGGAAAAGCCUCUAAGCAUCAGGUAACAUCAAAUCGUACCCCAAACCGACACAGGUGGUCAGGUAGAGAAUACCAAGGCGCUUGAGAGAACUCGGGUGAAGGAACUAGGCAAAAUGGUGCCGUAACUUCGGGAGAAGGCACGCUGACACGUAGGUGAAGUGAUUUACUCAUGGAGCUGAAGUCAGUCGAAGAUACCAGCUGGCUGCAACUGUUUAUUAAAAACACAGCACUGUGCAAACACGAAAGUGGACGUAUACGGUGUGACGCCUGCCCGGUGCCGGAAGGUUAAUUGAUGGGGUCAGCGCAAGCGAAGCUCCUGAUCGAAGCCCCGGUAAACGGCGGCCGUAACUAUAACGGUCCUAAGGUAGCGAAAUUCCUUGUCGGGUAAGUUCCGACCUGCACGAAUGGCGUAAUGAUGGCCAGGCUGUCUCCACCCGAGACUCAGUGAAAUUGAACUCGCUGUGAAGAUGCAGUGUACCCGCGGCAAGACGGAAAGACCCCGUGAACCUUUACUAUAGCUUGACACUGAACAUUGAGCCUUGAUGUGUAGGAUAGGUGGGAGGCUUUGAAGUGUGGACGCCAGUCUGCAUGGAGCCGACCUUGAAAUACCACCCUUUAAUGUUUGAUGUUCUAACGUGGACCCGUUACCCGGGUUGCGGACAGUGUCUGGUGGGUAGUUUGACUGGGGCGGUCUCCUCCUAAAGAGUAACGGAGGAGCACGAAGGUUGGCUAAUCCUGGUCGGACAUCAGGAGGUUAGUGCAAUGGCAUAAGCCAGCUUGACUGCGAGCGUGACGGCGCGAGCAGGUGCGAAAGCAGGUCAUAGUGAUCCGGUGGUUCUGAAUGGAAGGGCCAUCGCUCAACGGAUAAAAGGUACUCCGGGGAUAACAGGCUGAUACCGCCCAAGAGUUCAUAUCGACGGCGGUGUUUGGCACCUCGAUGUCGGCUCAUCACAUCCUGGGGCUGAAGUAGGUCCCAAGGGUAUGGCUGUUCGCCAUUUAAAGUGGUACGCGAGCUGGGUUUAGAACGUCGUGAGACAGUUCGGUCCCUAUCUGCCGUGGGCGCUGGAGAACUGAGGGGGGCUGCUCCUAGUACGAGAGGACCGGAGUGGACGCAUCACUGGUGUUCGGGUUGUCAUGCCAAUGGCACUGCCCG